This 1037-nucleotide long non-coding RNA is filed under the name Vulpes vulpes (red fox). Its description in RNAcentral is "lncRNA (ENSVVUG00000028821.1)". The record is from RNAcentral. Lineage: Eukaryota; Metazoa; Chordata; Mammalia; Carnivora; Canidae.
AAUUUUAAGGACAGCUUCAUCUUCUCUUUAACGAAUCUGAUCGGUAAAUUCAAGGAGGAAACUUUUGUAUUGCUUCUUCCAGGUACAGCAAGGAAGAGAAGAAAAGAUGAACACCUGCCCUAAACAAUAAAGCAGCACAAGCAUAAGCUAUGUACGGUGCAGUAAACAAAACAGAGACGUAAUACAUUCAAGUAAGAGCCAACAGGAUUCAACACAAAAGAAAGUAUUGUCAAUUUUUCUAGUGGAUAAAAGUUGAUAUGUCAAAAGGCUGAUGAAACUACAUACUGGUCAGGAAUGAACAAAGAGAAUAUACAUGCUACUGGCCCUGCUCUGAGUCAAUGGAUAGCUUUCUAGUGAGGCAUUAAGAAUUAUCUGGAAAGGCCAAGAGGAUGAUAGCCUAAAAAAUGACAGCAGGCUUGGCUUGUAUAACUGAAGCCCUUCAGUGAAAUUCUUUCAUGGUAGAUUGGCAAAGAACGUACGGAGUCAUUUUGAAGGGAUAUAUGGUAAUGGAUGAGAAGAAGCGAUCACUUCAGGCACUUAACGACUGAUGAAAGUGGGACAGUUUGCUUCAAAUGAUUCAGAAGCAUAAAUAGGACUAACAUAAUUGAAUGGGCUUUUCCCCUAUUCUGGGAGAAUGAGCAUCAAUUCCAUCUUUUUUGGAGGAAUUAAACAAAGGUGUGAACAACUGAAGAGAAGGAGCGUGGAGUCCUCUCCCAAGGAGAGCCUGAGUAGCCAGCAACAUGCAGGUGGAGAAAUCUUGAAUUCCACUUGCAGCCUGAAGCUAAAGCCCAGACAAACCACAGCCUGAAGACAGAAAAACACAGCUGAGUCCAGUCUAGAUCAGUUCUUUUCAGUAAUUGAUGGCGCUGCAUUUUCCAGUUUAUUAUCUUAGAAGUAACUGACCAUUUGGAAGAAGACCCUACUUAUUUUUUCUCUAGUUUUACUUGAUAGUCUGUGAUAGAUAAUUUACAACUUUUUAUCUGUCUAAAUUUUCAAUUCACUUUCCAACAAUUCCUUUUUUAAAAUUUCAGCCUUUC